This 253-nucleotide ribosomal RNA is filed under the name uncultured bacterium. RNAcentral describes it as "partial 16S ribosomal RNA". It matches the Rfam family "Bacterial small subunit ribosomal RNA", at positions 524 to 776 of the family's 1533-position model. The record is from RNAcentral.
UACAGAGGGUGCGAGCGUUGUUCGGAAUUAUUGGGCGUAAAGGGCGCGUAGGCGGUGCGGUAAGUCACCUGUGAAAUCUCCUGGCUCAACUGGGAGCUUGCAGGCGAAACUGCCGUGCUGGAGUGUGGGAGAGGUGCGUGGAAUUCCCAGUGUAGCGGUGAAAUGCGUAGAUAUCGGGAGGAACACCUGUGGCGAAAGCGGCGCACUGGACCACAACUGACGCUGAGGCGCGAAAGCUAGGGGAGCAAACAGG